GCAAACUGCGCGUCGCCAUGUGAACUGCAGGACACAUGAUCAUUGACAUGUUGAACGCAUAUUGCGCCUUAUACAUUUUGUUCUCACUCACUCUCGACAGUUGUUUGUAGGACUGUAUAAGGUACACAUGGUUGAGUGUCGUAAUUUCAUUCAAUUUCAAUUAUCAACAUUGUGUCACACACACACAAUGUAUAUUUGAGUGUCAUUAGAGCACCAAAGGAAAGACAGCGAGAGAGAGAAAUUUUUCUUCUCUUCUGCCUCCGGCGGUAUCUAUGACUAAAAUUCUGAAUGAUGUCAGUUUACGCCCUCGUGUAUACGCACAAAAGUUUUUUUGUAUAGUGUAUUUAUUUCACUCUCCAUCUUACUUUGUGUGUGGCGCGCUAACUUUACAACAUACAAAAUAUGUAUAUAUUUGUUGAUGUAGCUUUAGCCGUUGCCUCACCGCUUGAAAGUGUAGAUAUCGAAGGAGAGUAGAGAGAAUAAUUUACACACAACAAAAAAGCUGUAUGACACCGAAUGAUGUAAACGUGAAGCAGCAUCUUAUCUUAUCACAAUAAUAAUAAUAAUAACAACGAUGUUACGCGACCUCAACUGAUGUACGAU
This 603-nucleotide ribosomal RNA is filed under the name Polypedilum nubifer. RNAcentral describes it as "eukaryotic LSU rRNA". The stretch from base 1 to 141 matches the Rfam family "5.8S ribosomal RNA", at positions 48 to 154 of the family's 154-position model. Lineage: Eukaryota; Metazoa; Arthropoda; Insecta; Diptera; Chironomidae. The record is from RNAcentral.